Long non-coding RNA from Canis lupus familiaris (dog), 294 nucleotides. RefSeq lists it as uncharacterized. The record is from RefSeq and is a predicted model, not a curated record. Lineage: Eukaryota; Metazoa; Chordata; Mammalia; Carnivora; Canidae. The transcript is spliced from 3 exons.
AGAAGAAAGAAGUAUGGGUAUUUCAAUUGCUGGCUGUGUUCCUGAAAGAAAUGAAUAGUAAACAAAUAGUAGUACUUCUCUUUAACAUAGAAUGCUCAUCGGAUUGCUGUAAGAAGUGACAGUAGCACUGGUAUCAAAAGAAGAAAUGAAAAAACACAAGAGGAAAUAAAAAAUUAUCCAGAAGCCUAAGCAAAAUGAAAAGAAACUCAUUUCUAAAAGUUUACUGAACUGAAACUGAGAAACUCACCAGAAAUCGUCAGCUGAAGGGGAAUGAACUCCAGUGAAGACAAAGUA